GCGUUGUCCGGAAUCAUUGGGCGUAAAGCGCGCGUAGGCGGUCAGGUAAGUCCGGUGUGAAAGUCAUAGGCUCAACCUAUGAAUGCCGCUGGAAACUGUCUGACUUGAGUCCGGAAGGGGCGAGUGGAAUUCCUGGUGUAGCGGUGAAAUGCGCAGAUAUCAGGAGGAACACCAAUGGCGAAGGCAGCUCGCUGGAACGGUACUGACGCUGAGGCGCGAAAGCGUG
RNAcentral lists this ribosomal RNA (226 nucleotides) under uncultured bacterium. Its description in RNAcentral is "partial 16S ribosomal RNA". It matches the Rfam family "Bacterial small subunit ribosomal RNA", at positions 538 to 763 of the family's 1533-position model. The record is from RNAcentral.